This 1769-nucleotide long non-coding RNA is filed under the name Manduca sexta (tobacco hornworm). Its description in RNAcentral is "uncharacterized LOC115453260". The record is from RNAcentral. Lineage: Eukaryota; Metazoa; Arthropoda; Insecta; Lepidoptera; Sphingidae.
AUUUAUCCAUAAUACAUAUAUUUAUACACAUAUAAUUACAAUAGAUAAUAUAUUUGUCCGUGCCUAAUUUAAAUGGGACAUUGUUUUCCAAUUUUAUUCGUUUAUUUUGCCUAGGUGGCACCAACUCCAAAAAUUAUGUAUUAUACAUAUAUCAACUCCAAUGGUACCUACUUAAAUACUACAUAGAAACUUCAACACACAUACUAUACCGUUUUGUGUCGUUGGAAAUUACUAGCUGACCCGUUAAAUAUUAUAUAAUUUAUUUCUAGUGAAUAUUUUGGUUGUUAAAUAAAAAAUACGAAUGGUUUAUAAGUGCGUGAAGAUGUCUAAUUAACUGAGUUUUAUGGAACGUUGAUCAGAGAAAAAUUCACUAAUCUGUGAUCAAUUUGAUUAGACAUCAACAUUCUUUUUCGUUAGGGUCGCGCUUUUACCUUGUUGAGUUUAUCAUUAACUUCCUUAAAUUGAAAAAUGAUUUCAUAAGAAACAAGUAAGUACAUCUUGCGAAAAUAGUAAUAAUACCAACCCUGUAUUAUAUACAUGCUCACUGUUCAGUGCGGCCCUCUACUGAGGGUUUAGGCCUUAGUCCACCACGCUGGCCUAGUGCCGGUUAGUUACUUGACUUGCCUUCAAAAGUCUUUUUAGAAAAUUCUGUUUCCUUUCACCGUAAAACGAACGUUAAUUGAUUAACAGUAGACACAUAACAUUGAAAAGUCGGAGGUAUGCCGCCUUGAGUUUUGAACCUGCAGACAUUUUAUUCCCAACGAUGCUAUCGUGCAUAUAUUAACUAUCUACAUUAAAGAUAAUUUAUGUGGUGUGUAAUGUGUAUACUAACUACGAAAAUGUAAAUCAAGAAAAUAUGGAAAUUGGAAGUAAGUACAUAUCUAAUAUAUUUAAAUUUUAUCAUUUAAAUCUCAUGACAAAAUUGGCAUGUGGCAACACUACCAAAUACGUUUUGUUACGGGACUUGUAUUCAUAAACAAAAAUAAAAUAAGAUUCUCAUUACAAUUCUCUUUGUACAUAAUUUAACACUGCUGCUCAAAUUUGAAAGCUGGCUGUUGACUGGGUAGGUAGGUAGUACAGGCGUUAAUUUUUGGAAUUUAGUGUAAGUAAGUAUAUUUAUUUUUAGUACAUACCUACGUUAAUUUAUUUUGAUUCUUUAUUUUUUUUCCUUAUUUCAGACUAUAUGUAACAAAUAACAAUGUCAAGACCAAAUAGAAUCAAUAAGGGGAAUACAAAAAGUACAGUUAUUCAGGCCCACGGGGAUCGCGCAAAAGAAUUCAAUCGGCUCUAAAAAGACACUAUGGAGUAACUUCACGAGAUGCGGUAUGGCGCAUGAGACAAAAUAUGAGGUACUCAGACCCAGCAUUUUAAACAAGAAGAAAAAAAUAAAAUUGAAUUCCAGAAUCGGAUUAGAUAUUUCAUUUGUAAUGGAAUAAAAAAAUUAUGUCACAGUCCAAGUUUUCGCGAAAAGAAAAUUAUAUUAGAUAUUUACUUAACUCUAUAAUAUAAAAAUUCGCGCGCAUUUUAAAUUGCUAUAUUGUUACUUACCUAUUUAUUUACUAAUGUAAUCUGACAUAACUGUAAGUAAGUUUACCACCACAAGUUCAUGAUGAAACUGAUCAAUGGAGAUAUAUAUUGGAAGAUGAAACUUAUUUGUAUUUUUUUUUAUAAAUAAAGUUAAAUGAAAAGUCAUAUGUUUUGAAAUCAAGUAAAUACUUAGUCCAUCCAACUUGGUAAGUCCAUACCUACAAAGUUAUUUGACUACAAAA